AAAAAGACAAACCCUGAUUUCCGUGCCCAACGUUUGACCGUCCGUCUUAUUUGAAAAAAUUAUGAAAAAAAAUUAAAAAAACAAGUCACGCAUAAAAUAUUAAUCAUGUUUUAUCAUCUAACAACAAUGAAAAUACGAAUUAUAAAAAAAAUUUAUAUAAGACGGACAGUCAAAGUUGGACACGGAAAUCCAUGGUUUGUCUUUUU
This 206-nucleotide microRNA precursor is filed under the name Oryza glumipatula. Its description in RNAcentral is "MIR812 microRNA precursor family". It matches the Rfam family "MIR812 microRNA precursor family". Lineage: Eukaryota; Viridiplantae; Streptophyta; Magnoliopsida; Poales; Poaceae. The record is from Rfam by way of RNAcentral.